GUGCUUAACACAUGCAAGUCGAACGGAAAGGUCUCUUCGGAGAUACUCGAGUGGCGAACGGGUGAGUAACACGUGGGUGAUCUGCCCUGCACUUCGGGAUAAGCCUGGGAAACUGGGUCUAAUACCGGAUAGGACCACGGGAUGCAUGUCUUGUGGUGGAAAGCGCUUUAGCGGUGUGGGAUGAGCCCGCGGCCUAUCAGCUUGUUGGUGGGGUGACGGCCUACCAAGGCGACGACGGGUAGCCGGCCUGAGAGGGUGUCCGGCCACACUGGGACUGAGAUACGGCCCAGACUCCUACGGGAGGCAGCAGUGGGGAAUAUUGCACAAUGGGCGCAAGCCUGAUGCAGCGACGCCGCGUGGGGGAUGACGGCCUUCGGGUUGUAAACCUCUUUCACCAUCGACGAAGGUCCGGGUUCUCUCGGAUUGACGGUAGGUGGAGAAGAAGCACCGGCCAACUACGUGCCAGCAGCCGCGGUAAUACGUAGGGUGCGAGCGUUGUCCGGAAUUACUGGGCGUAAAGAGCUCGUAGGUGGUUUGUCGCGUUGUUCGUGAAAUC
Molecule: ribosomal RNA, 556 nt
Filed under: Mycobacterium tuberculosis variant bovis
Lineage: Bacteria; Bacillati; Actinomycetota; Actinomycetes; Mycobacteriales; Mycobacteriaceae
Also listed under: 4 other names
Description: bacterial SSU rRNA
Rfam family: Bacterial small subunit ribosomal RNA
Source: RNAcentral